RNAcentral lists this ribosomal RNA (224 nucleotides) under uncultured Eubacteriales bacterium. RNAcentral's name for it is "uncultured Clostridiales bacterium partial 16S ribosomal RNA". It matches the Rfam family "Bacterial small subunit ribosomal RNA", at positions 112 to 334 of the family's 1533-position model. The record is from RNAcentral. Lineage: Bacteria; Bacillati; Bacillota; Clostridia; Eubacteriales.
AACGCGUGAGUAACCUGCCUUACACAAGGGGAUAGCCUCUGGAAACGGAGAAUAAUACCCUAUGAAACUAUCUUAUCGCAUGAAAAGAUAGUCAAAGUGUUUUAGCGGUGUAAGAUGGACUCGCGUCUGAUUAGCUAGUUGGUGAGAUAACAGCCCACCAAGGCAACGAUCAGUAGCCGGCUUGAGAGAGUGUACGGCCACAUUGGGACUGAGACACGGCCCAG